RNAcentral lists this ribosomal RNA (253 nucleotides) under uncultured bacterium. Its description in RNAcentral is "partial 16S ribosomal RNA". It matches the Rfam family "Bacterial small subunit ribosomal RNA", at positions 524 to 776 of the family's 1533-position model. The record is from RNAcentral.
UACGAGGGGGGCGAGCGUUGUUCGGAAUUAUUGGGCGUAAAGGGUGCGUAGGCGGUUUGGUAAGUCAGUGGUGAAAUCUCCGGGCUUAACCCGGAAACUGCCGUUGAUACUAUAUAUCUUGAAUGCUGUGGAGGUAAGCAGAAUAUGUCAUGUAGCGGUGAAAUGCUUAGAUAUGACAUAGAACACCAAUUGCGAAGGCAGCUUGCUACACAACUAUUGACUCUGAUGCACGAAAGCGUGGGGAUCAAACAGG